Molecule: long non-coding RNA, 200 nt
Filed under: Elaeis guineensis (African oil palm)
Lineage: Eukaryota; Viridiplantae; Streptophyta; Magnoliopsida; Arecales; Arecaceae
Description: long non-coding RNA (EGUI_LNC037649)
Source: RNAcentral
UCAGCAGCUCGAUACUCUUCGGCAUCCUCUUCUCAGACCUCAAUGACACAGACGUGGGUUGAUGCACAUGUGAAGGAGAUCAUGUAGAGGCUUUGGAGAAAAUGGCCUCGAAGCUUCCAAGAUGUCAUCCGUGAUACAGUCGUUGAGAUUCUUUGGGAUCUAUAUCUGUAUAAUUAGCUGGACUCAUCACAACCAUCACA